UACGGAGGGUGCAAGCGUUAUCCGGAUUCACUGGGUUUAAAGGGUGCGUAGGUGGGCAGGUAAGUCAGUGGUGAAAUCUCCGGGCUUAACUCGGAAACUGCCAUUGAUACUAUCUUUCUUGAAUACCGUGGAGGUCAGCGGAAUAUGUCAUGUAGCGGUGAAAUGCUUAGAUAUGACAUAGAACACCAAUUGCGAAGGCAGCUUACUACGGAUCGAUUGACACUGAGGCACGAAAGCGUGGGGAUCAAACAGG
This 253-nucleotide ribosomal RNA is filed under the name uncultured bacterium. Its description in RNAcentral is "partial 16S ribosomal RNA". It matches the Rfam family "Bacterial small subunit ribosomal RNA", at positions 524 to 776 of the family's 1533-position model. The record is from RNAcentral.